This 349-nucleotide ribosomal RNA is filed under the name Waldo arthuri. RNAcentral's name for it is "partial 16S ribosomal RNA". It matches the Rfam family "Bacterial large subunit ribosomal RNA", at positions 1862 to 2515 of the family's 2925-position model. The record is from RNAcentral. Lineage: Eukaryota; Metazoa; Mollusca; Bivalvia; Galeommatida; Lasaeidae.
CCCGGUGAUAAUUUUAACGGCCGCAGUUGGAAGCUGUGCUAAGGUAGCGUAAUAAGUUGUCCUUUAAAUGAGGAAGUGAAUGAAUGGCUUGACGUAAGAAAUUCUGUCUCCAAGAAAAUUUAUGAAAUUUUCUUCUUAGUGAAAAGACUGAGAUUUAAUUAAAAGACGAGAAGACCCUAUUGAGCUUGUAAUUAUUAGCAUAUAAGUGUGUUAAAAAAGUUUGGUUGGGGUAACCAGGGAGUAUAAAUAACCUCCCUUAAGUAAUAGAAAUCCAAAAUUUUUGAAAAAAGAAAAAGUUACCGUAGGGAUAACAGCGUUAUCUUUUCUAAGAGAGCAAAUUGAAGAAAAG